CAAGAUAGUAAACAUGACAUAAAUUUAAAACAAAAAAUGGCUGUCAAAAGUUUAUUUUCAAGAAGUGUUCUCAACCUCAGAAGAAGCCUACUGGGGUUCCAUGGAAGCUUUGAUUCAAGACUGAAGAUACCAAGCAGAUCUUUGUUGAUAGAAUUGACAGUGCUAAGCGUUUAAUUUUCUUGCUGCCAGAGGUUCAUUGGCCUUGGAAAACAUGAAAGUCUGGCAAACUGAUGUUGUUAUUGAAGAUGUGAACAUAAAACAACGAAGAGAAGAGUUGAAAGUCUGUAGGGAACACCUAGUGGGUUCGGGUAUCGUCCAAGCACCUCCUGAAGAACGGAAAUUGAUUGUACUAGUAUUGUCACUUUGAAGGACUAUACCCUCACUUGUUGACAGUCUUCCAGGCAUCAAACUAUGUAUAUAUAGAAAAUAAUCAAUUCAUCAACUUUCUACAAUGCACAAUGGCAUAGUCUUAAGUCUCAAUGCCGUCUAUUUAUAUGCAAGAAAGCAAGGAAAACUCUUUGGAAGAUAAUAGACAUAGCCUUUUACUGUACCUACAGACCUACCUGAGCAUUAUUUAUUUGUCACCAUUAUCAUAAAUUUUUAUUUUUGUCUUUUUGAUACUGGUAAAGAAGAAAACCCACCAGGAAUGUAUUCCCCUCCCUUGUGUAUUUUUUUAGUGUUCACUGUGUGUAUGAAUGGGUUCUGAGCGCUU
Molecule: long non-coding RNA, 712 nt
Organism: Halichondria panicea
Lineage: Eukaryota; Metazoa; Porifera; Demospongiae; Suberitida; Halichondriidae
Exons: 4
Source: RefSeq, a predicted model, not a curated record